CCUACGGGUGGCAGCAGUGAGGAAUAUUGGUCAAUGGGCGCGAGCCUGAACCAGCCAAGUAGCGUGAAGGAUGACUGCCCUACGGGUUGUAAACUUCUUUUAUAAAGGAAUAAAGUGAGGCACGUGUGCCUUUUUGUAUGUACUUUAUGAAUAAGGAGCGGCUAACUCCGUGCCAGCAGCCGCGGUAAUACGGAGGAUACGAGCGUUAUCCGGAGUUAUUGGGUUUAAAGGGAGCGUAGAGGGGUUGUUAAGUCAGUUGUGCAAGUUUGCGGCUCAACCGUAAAAUUGCAAUUGAUACUGGCAGCCUUGCUUACCGUUGAGGUAGGCGGAAUUCGUGGUGUAGCGGU
This 347-nucleotide ribosomal RNA is filed under the name uncultured bacterium. RNAcentral describes it as "partial 16S ribosomal RNA". It matches the Rfam family "Bacterial small subunit ribosomal RNA", at positions 338 to 682 of the family's 1533-position model. The record is from RNAcentral.